AUGGAUCAAAAUUCAACUUAUGUGCUGAAAAUCAAUUUGCUUGGCAACCCAAAAAAGGCUAGAAAGGAUAUCAAAUGCUUCUGUUUUGAUAAGGUUAUUGAUUCUGACUUAACAAAUUAUAAGGACUUGGUUGAAUCAAUCGUAGAGCAGUACUCGCCUCGUUAUUUGGAGGUUGCACAUGUUCAGUACUAUGAUGAUGUUCUUAAAAUCUACCCUGAAAAGGUUGUGCACAUGUUUGUUGCGUAUUGUGAUCCAUCGGAACCAUAUGAGCCUAUAAUGGAGUGGCAUAGUGAUGCGCAUAGCCAACCUAACAACAUAGAACAAGAUGAUGAUGAUGAUUAUCUUCGCAACCUAGUACCUGAGAAUGAGCAUGUUGGUGUUGAUGAGGAAAAUAUUUAUUUAGAGGAUGAACCUGUACCUCUUAUCAUGGUUCCUUGUUCCAAUAAAGAAAAGGACAAAGACUAUGUUCCUGAUCAUGAGAGCGAGGCUGAGAGCGAUGUUGAGAGCGAGGAUGAGAGCGAGGAUGAGAGCAUGUCAGAGGUUGAAGUACAGGAAGAUGAGGAAUAUCACGAGGCAGAUCAUGCACCACACAUUGAAUAUAAUAAAUUAGAUCCUCCAAUGAACGAAGGAAGAAAAUAUCCCAAUAUUGCAGAGUUUAAAUUGGCGCUUUCUCAGCAUGCAAUCAAACAUGAAUUUGAGUUUGACACCGAAAAGAGUGCACCACAUAGGUUCAGAGCUUAUUGUUCAAGAAGGGAUGAAGAUAAGUGUCCAUGGAGGAUAUAUGCGUCUACAAUGGAAGAUGAGUGCACAGUAAUGGUAAUUUUCUAA
Molecule: ribosomal RNA, 828 nt
Filed under: Triticum aestivum (bread wheat)
Lineage: Eukaryota; Viridiplantae; Streptophyta; Magnoliopsida; Poales; Poaceae
Description: partial small subunit ribosomal RNA
Source: RNAcentral